Molecule: non-coding RNA, 6228 nt
Organism: Equus caballus (horse)
Lineage: Eukaryota; Metazoa; Chordata; Mammalia; Perissodactyla; Equidae
Source: RefSeq, a predicted model, not a curated record
ACAUAACCCCUGCACCACCAUGCUGGCCCCUGUUUUCAGCUUUUUGGUAUUACAAAUAGUGAACAUAUCUACAAAUAGUGGAUUUUUGUACAUAUUUUGUAUGUACAUGUAUACGUAUGCAUUUCAGUUGACUAAAUACUUAGCAGUAGACAUUCUGAGUCAAGGGCUAUGCAUAUGUUCACACUUAAUAGAUGAUGUCAAACUGUUUUCCAAAAUGCUGUACUAAUUUAUACCCCACCAGCAAUAUCUGAGAACUCCAGUUGUUUCAAAAUUUGGUUUUGUCUGUCUUUUGUAUUUCAGCCAUACUGAUGAACAUGUGGUGGUUUCUUAUGGUUUAUUUUGUAAUUCCUUAGUAGUUCAUAAAGUUGAAUGCCUCUUUAUAUACUUUUUUGCCAAUUUUUAUAUCCUCUUCAUGUAGUGCUUAUUCCAAUCUUAUUUUUUCAGGUUUUUUGUUUUGUUUUGUUUUCAUUCAUCAAUUUGUUAGAGUUUUUUAUAUAGUUGGGAUUGGAAAUCUUUGAUAUUAGCUUGCAACAUAUCUUUGGGUCUAUUGGUUUUAGGUGGUAAUAAAGUCUUUAAAAUUACUAUGAACCUCAUUGACUUUGUCUUUUUAUAGUUUACUGGGAUCACAAAAGAUCAUGACUAUCUAGGAAAGAAAUCCUGGGCACAAAUAAAAUGAAGCACUAUAAAAAAGAGAUUUAAGUUUACAAAAACUAGUAGAGCUACCACAUAAAGUUUCAGGAAUCUCCAGUUUAAAGUUUUAUUGUUCCAGUUUAUUAGAAUGCAUUUUUGUGAAUCCAGCCAUUGCUGCUCCUGUUUUUGAAUAAUUAGAAAAAAGUCUUUUUAGAAUUCUCAGAUGUACAGUGACUUAGGAGCUAACCGAUAUAAAUUAUAUUUUCUUUGUGUACAUAAUCUUUCCCUAGGCCUGCUGGUUUUCAUUAAUGUAAAUUAAUUGGAACCACUAGAGAAAGCCAUCCAUUGUUUAUAAAUUACUUGGAACUAAAUUUUCUUCCUAACACAUUUUUUAAAAAUCUAGUAGUUUACUCUGUUUACUUUUAAUAGGCAAUUCAAAGUUAAAAUGUAUUUGUAGAAAUAUGAAUAAAAACAUUUUUAAAAGCUCACUUUACCAUUUUCACUUGGAUUGGUGUUAUAGGUCUGCUGUGUCAGGUCAGCACAACACAAAGUUAAAUGGAGGUUUAAGAAAUUACAGGACAUUUUCAAGCAAAAGUAAUUCUUAUUUGCCUGAAUUAUCUUUGCAAUUGUGUUUUGCCAUGCAUUUCAGGAGAACUCUGAGAUUUUUAAACUGAGUGUCAAUAUCCCUACAAGAUGAUGGAAGGUACCGUCCUGGAAGCAUAAUGUGAAAGCAUAUACACAGUCACCCCUGCUCUACGACAUAGAAAAUUGUCUACGAGAAAAUGCAAGCUUGACUCAAAAGAUAAUAUUCUACAUCCAUACCCUGGAUUGUUACACAUUUAAUCAUCUGAAAGACAUGCAGCCAUUAAAUAAAUUCUAAUCCCUCUAGAGUAUGAUCAGACUUCGAAAUAUAUGAGCCACCAAUGAAUUUAGGAAAGGCAAAAUGAUUUGGUCAUUCACCAAAUACACUACUUUCGCUUCAUGUAUUAUGUCCAACGGCUUAACACAAGAUGUCCUCAAAGUUUCUACUUUAAAGUAAAUUUCCAGCUAUGAGAGCCAAUUUCCAUCUACUUUUAGGGAUCCAAACUUUCCUCAUUCUUCAGACAUUUAUAGUCUGGAAAGAAUAGUCCUGUUUCUAUUUUAAGUAACAAAAAUUAAGGUAAUUCUUAAUUAAGUUACAAUCAAACCAACAAUGUAAAUUGAGUUACUAUUAUGUGAAUGAGAUGAUUUUAAUUCUCCCUUCAGUGACAAUAAAAAGACUGAUUUGUGUACAGAAGAGGAAGAGAAAGAGUAAAACUUACAUAUGCAGAAUUAUUUUAUCUGGACACUGCAACGGUGGCUACAAAAACAGAUGUGGUCUUCUCCAUUUACACUAAUAACAACAAAACUUUAAUUUUGCACUUAUCUGGACCAAUAAGGAUAAAUGUUAUGUAUCAAAAACUCGUGAUGGUACUUCACAUCUCUCAACUUGUAGAGGGGAAAAUUGCAGGCUUAGAAUGCAUAGACUCUUAGAGUAUUUAGUAAGCGUUUGUUUGCAUAUACCCCGCAGAAUUUCAAAAUAGAUAUGAAAUCUUUUCCAAAAAUACAUAAGAUAUAAUAAUACAAAAAUAGUUAAAGGGAAAGAUGUCAGAGAAUAAAAGUGGAAUAUCUCAAGGAAACCAGAGAGAAAAUGAGCAUGCCACAUGUGUAUUGCAUUCAUCUUCUAAAAUUGCUAAAGAUGGAUCAAAUAUUUGACUUUGAGGGUCCUGCAGACAAACCAAAAGGAAAACAUUAUUAACUACAACAUAAUCUGUGACCAUAUAACGAAAAUAUACCAGUGGUUAGGAUAUAACAAUUUUCUUGACGUUUGGUUUCUCCAGUGGGGUUAAAUGAAUGGGAAACUGUAACAGAUGCAGAACAUUCAUAAGGAUAUCAUCAAAUCUAAGCUCCUAAUUUUGACAAGAAGGGAAAUCCCAGGGAAAUGAUAGAUUCUGUUACUCUCAGUGUUGUAAUCAGGUCCGAGAGAGCUUAACUGAAAGAGUAUUUUACUUAUCUGAAAAUCAAUAAUGCACUCAAAUAUUACAUGGAGAGUCUUGAUUAAACAGGUUAAAAGGCAAGGCAAUAUGAAAAAAUAAACAAAAUUUUAAACAAACACCAAUUUGAGAUGUUAAGUCCAAUAUAGCUAUAAUAUCAUUAACUUUGCGGGGAAGCAUGACACCUGCUUACACGAAGUUUAAUUCUUGUAGAGAAAACAGGUACAUAGAUAUAUGAUAUGACAGUAUAUGUCAUAUACUAUAUAUGUCAUAAACACAGUAUAAUGUAUUUAAGUGCUAUUGGCACAUAGUAAUUCAGUUAUGUGGUCAUAGCCAAGAAGGCAAUGAACCCUCAGGCAUCUGUGUGCAUUCGUUUUGUUCAAAGUACAAACCAUGUGAGGUCAGAAGCCAUGCUAAUUAUGAAGGAAACCAGUGGUAAGUAAGAUUUGCUAAGAAACACCACUCUCUGGAAACAAUGCGAAGUGUUUGUAUAAAGCUGGAUUUCCCAUAGAUGGCAAAGAGGAAUCACUGUUAGUACUUAAUGAUACUUUAACUGAACUGAUACUAGUUUGCAUCGCUAUUGUGAAGAGCAACUAGGGAGAAAAUCGUCAUAAAAUAAUGCACUAGCUUCAAGUGACAUAAACCACAAAAACUGCAAGACAUAAACGGUGCUUUGGGUUGCAGAAUUAAGUAACCUAGACCCUUUGACCUUUAAAAUGUAGCUCUCAAAUAUAAGAGCUCUCUUACGGCACUCGGCAUUUCUUUUUCCCAUGCCAUUAUUUUCUUAAGGUAAAUAACAUACAAAUCAUCGGAAAUGGUUAAAGACGUUAAAGGACGCCUAGUUUUAAAGCAAUAUUCGUGUAAGAGAACACAACUGUGGCCCAGAGUGAUGAAGUGUAACGGACCAUAGAGAGUUAAGAGCAGAUCUGGGACUGAAUCCAAGUGAUUUGACCCCCAGCCCACUGCUCUGCCACCUGGGAGGCAGUAGAGUAUUGUCUCUAGCCAGAGUGCCUGGCUAUGAAUGCUGGCUUCACUACUGACUAGCUGUACACUUUGGGCAGGGCAUGUACCGUUUCUGUGACUCAGUGUUCUUAUCUUCAAACUGAGAAGAACAAUGGUAGCUACCUCAUGGGGUUUCUGAGGGGAAUAAGUGAGUCAAUUGCUUAGAAGUGUUUAGAGUACCUAGCAUAGUGUAAACAGGACAUAAGGCUUUGUUGUUAAUACCACUUCUUCCAUGAGCCAGGCAUGAGUCUGGCCUAGCAAAAGACAGUACACUGGGGAAACACACACUAAACCCUCAUGAAUGUGCUGGAAUUGUUUUUCAUCAGAUCCACAUGAGCAGGCAUAGGACUUGGGACCAGGAGCCCUCAGAAGCCCUAACCUCUGUCUAGAAGCAAAUUAUAAUGCUCUCUGCAUGGUUAACCUUGCAUAUUUCUAUACUUUUUGCCACCAAGGAAAUCUGUGCCUCCUAACCAUGGCUGUGGCUUAUUCGUCUCAACAGUAUCAUUUUGCUAAAACCCCUUGCCACCAUUUCAUGCUUAUUUAGAAAAUGUAAUAAUGAAUUAGAGAUUUGAGAGUGAGAACUCUCCCUUUCUUGAUGCAAUGUAAUAAUGAAUUAGAGAUUUGAGAGUGAGAACUCUCCCUUUCUUGAUGCUUUUUCAAGAUAUUAUUUUCUUUUCUUCCAUACAUUUCUUAUAUCUGGCUCUUUAAUAACUCAAAGACGCGAUGGUCAUAAUCUUUUUGACUUUCAGUAGACAUCAAGUCAACAUGUUAAUUCAAUUUUUCUGACACUGAGUUUUUCAUAUCUGCAACUUGCAGAGAGAGGGAUUAAUCCUUACUGAAUUAACUUCUGGAAAAUAUCUUUAUAAUUCAGAGAUUUUAAACUAAUCUUUAUCAUAUUUAACCUCUCCCUGUGUUUGCAUUAAAUUAGUCUUUUAGCUGCAGUUAAAAAGACAUGAAAUAAACUGAAAAAAUUAAUUAAUAAAUUGAAAAAGCUUUCUAAAACCAGAUCUGACUUGUUACCUUAAUAGAGAGGAUCAUAAUUCACAGAGGCCAACUCAAUUUGAAAAGCAAUUAGUUAUCUUGUUAAUUACUUCCUAAUUUUUCUUAGAAACUGAAUACGUUCUCUUAUUUUCUGCCAACCUUCUACUUUUGCCAAGAGCCUAACUCUAAACUUCCCAUGGGAAGCAACAGGAUGUAGACAUUCCAAGAAAAAGCCUUGAUUGGAGGUAAAUCUAACUUUGAAUUCUGACUUCACUGGAUUGGCUAAGCGAUACCUGGAAAGGUCCUCAAUCUUACUAAUCUUCCUUUUUUCCAACAAUACAAUAAGGAAUAAUUGCACCUAACUCGUAAACUCUAAGCAUCUCCCUUGCUGGAUUUAAUGAAGUAAGUGGACAUACGGAAUUGUCCACGUGGCAAGAUACUGGAGGUGAUAUCUGACCAACAGCAAGGAACUGAGGCCCUCAGUCCAACAUCCCACAAGUAACUGAAUCCUACCAACAACCACAUGAGCUUGGAAGUGGACCCUUCUCUAGUCAAGCCCCAGAUAAGACUCUAGCCCUAGCUAACAACUUGAUUCAAACCUGGGUGAAACUAUGAAAUAAAGGACACAGGGGGCUCGGCUAAGCACUCAGAAGGGUACAGGGAGAAUUACUUGUCCUCCCCUACACAGUCACACCACUUGAAAGAGGGAGUGAAUGCUAAAAUUGAUGAAGACUCAGAGAAAAAUGCAUAGAAAAUAAUUUAAAAGAAUAUAGUACAUAAAAAUAAUCUCAGCAUAAGGAAUGACUUCCCAACAUUCACAGUUAUCCAAAGAUUGAAGAGGAAAGGGGGGAAGAAAGAAUAAAGAAUGAUGAUUUGGGGCAUGUAAACUCUACGAUACUGAAAUUACUGAUAUUUCCUUGUUUGUCAAAAAGAGAAACUGAAAGAGCCAAAUAAAACAGGAAUGAGGUUCUUCAUUAAGAUUGACUCGAGUUAUUACUUUACCAGAAUCUUCUUCUACAUCAAAAAUACUGGCAGGAUAAGGAAAUUGGACAUCAUCUACUCUAUACCUCACACGACUUGCAGUGUGAAGAACAGGUCUGCUUAGUCAUGGAUCCCUGAAGAAGGAGACAUGUGCAGUAGACAUGAGCCCAACCUUCCGCCUGAAACCAAGGCCAGCCAACCUCUAGCUGCCUCAAAGACCCAUGAACUAAAAUAUAAACCUUUGUUAGAAUGAAUUGGUGAUAUUUUGGUAUUGUUUACUAUGUAGCACUUUGGUAGGAAAAUUUAAUUGAUGCUAUUGGGUGCAUUUUUGCUUUUUGUGUUUUUUUAAACUUUAUGUAAUGGUAUUAUUUUCUUUUAUUAUUUUCAUUGAGUAUUAGGUUCUUACAUUUCAUUCUCAUUGCUAUUUGUUCAUAAAAUCCUGCUGUGCUAGAAGUUCACAGGACACUUCUCACUUCCCACUUCUAGUAUAUAAUCAAAACAAUUGAAAUUAGAAUCUUGAAGAGACAUUUGCGCUUUCAGGUUCUUUGAAGCAUUACUCACAAUAGCCAAGAUGAGGAAAUAACCUAAAUGUCCAUCAGUGGAUAAAGAAAAUGUGGUAUAU